AGCGAACGCUGGCGGCAGGCCUAACACAUGCAAGUCGAGCGGCCGUAGCAAUACGGCAGCGGCAGACGGGAUAGUAACACGUGGGAACGCGCCCUUCGGUUCGGAAUAACUCAGGGAAACUUGAGCUAAUACCGGAUACGCCCUUACGGGGAAAGAUUUAUUGCCGAAGGAACGGCCCGCGUCCGAUUAGCUAGUUGGUGAGGUAAUGGCUCACCAAGGCGACGAUCGGUAGCUGGCUGAGAGGAUGACCAGCAUCACUGGGACUGAGACACGGCCCAGACUCCUACGGGAGGCAGCAGGUGGGGAAUAUUGGACAAUGGGCGCAAGCCUGAUCCAGCCAUGCCGCGUGGAUGAUGAAGGCCCUAGGGUUGUAAAGUCCUUUUAACGGGGAAGAUAAUGACGGUACCCGUAGAAUAAGCCCGGCUAACUUCGUGACAGCCGCCGCAGUAAU
This 451-nucleotide ribosomal RNA is filed under the name uncultured bacterium. Its description in RNAcentral is "bacterial SSU rRNA". It matches the Rfam family "Bacterial small subunit ribosomal RNA", at positions 29 to 524 of the family's 1533-position model. The record is from RNAcentral.